This is a long non-coding RNA of Cyprinodon tularosa, 603 nucleotides long. RefSeq lists it as uncharacterized. Lineage: Eukaryota; Metazoa; Chordata; Actinopteri; Cyprinodontiformes; Cyprinodontidae. The record is from RefSeq and is a predicted model, not a curated record. The transcript has 2 exons.
CAGCUGGUCGUUCCAUUAUAUCAGCCAAAGGGGCAAGAGGAGGACUUCACGCUGUUGUGCUACAUGGUUCAGACAUGAAGAACAACCAGAAUCAGCAUUUUACCAUUGACCUGAUGCGGAAAAGAAUAGUACUGCUAAUGUAAGACGAGUCACAGAGGCCUGAGCCGGAAUAUUUCAGCCUCUCUGUGGGUGUCAGCAAGAAUCCUUCUUCAUGUGUGUUUUUACAUGUGAGUGUGAGCCCUAAAUGUACCAUGCAGAGGCGUUUGAAAAAGGCCAGACGCCGUCUGUCAGGCGUUACUCUGUCUUCCCUCCCCUGCCCCCCUCUCCAUCCCACAGCCUGCUCGAUGAUGGAUGACAGCGAAUGAGAAGUUUCCUCUCCUGGACUGCUGACUGGAGCCGGCUGCCGUCAGAGGAACAGCCAUCUGCUUUUCAUUGCAGGGGCCAUUGGGGACUCUUGGGUUUGGACCUGUGUUCUGGCCUUGCAGCAGUACGAUGGGGCAAGACUCGCUGCCAGGCAACAAAUCAGGGUGGGCUGCACAGGAAUGAAGAAACCCAUCUGUGAAAUGUACAAAUGUAGAAAAUAAAUAGUUUAUUCAAACCACA